AUUGAACGCUGGCGGCAGGCCUAACACAUGUAAGUCGAGCGAGCGGCGGACGGGUGAGUAAUGUAUGGGGACUGCCCGAUAGAGUGGGAUAACUACUGGAAACGGUAGCUAAUACCGCAUACUAUCGGAUAACCCAUAUGGGAUUAGCUCGUAGGUGAGGUAAUGGCUCACCUAGGCGACGAUCCCGAGCUGGUCUGAGCGGAUGAUCAGCCACACUGGGACUGAGAGACGGCCCAGGUUCCGACGGAGGCAGCAGUGGGGAAUAUUGCACAAUGGGCGCAAGCCUGAUGCAGCCAUGCCGCGUGUAUGAAGAAGGCCCUAGGGUUGUAAAGGACUUUCAGUCGGGAGGCGUUACCGACAGAAGAAGCACCGGCUAACUCCGUGCCAGCAGCCGCGGUAAUUC
This 403-nucleotide ribosomal RNA is filed under the name uncultured bacterium. RNAcentral's name for it is "partial 16S ribosomal RNA". It matches the Rfam family "Bacterial small subunit ribosomal RNA", at positions 30 to 526 of the family's 1533-position model. The record is from RNAcentral.